AGAAGCUUAGGAUAAAUAAACCAGGAGCCUUCAAAGCUCCAAAUAGAAGUUAACCCUUCUAGCUUCUG
Molecule: transfer RNA, 68 nt
Filed under: Craugastor cf. mexicanus UTA A-55247
Lineage: Eukaryota; Metazoa; Chordata; Amphibia; Anura; Craugastoridae
Description: tRNA-Trp
Source: RNAcentral